This is a non-coding RNA of Coturnix japonica (Japanese quail), 383 nucleotides long. The record is from RefSeq and is a predicted model, not a curated record. Lineage: Eukaryota; Metazoa; Chordata; Aves; Galliformes; Phasianidae.
GGUAACAGAUGCAGCUCAUUGCUUGGAAUACAAUUUACGGAUUUUUAUAAUAGAGAUCGUUGAUGAAAAGAUUGCAGUGGCUUGUCAGGAUUUGAAAUUCAGCAUGGAUCCUACUGUUACAUUGCUGUAUGAUGAUGCAAAAAGCAACAGGAUUUACAUUUACAGUUGCAGAUAUGUAGAAACAGACAGGAUUUUCCCCUAGUACUACCAUGCAUGCUUCUAAAAAUAUUUGUGCCAUUAAAGGUCAAUAGCUGAAAAUAACCUAGAAGUUGAACUGUAGGCUGCUGUAUCUAUGAAAAUGCAACUUUAAUAAAUAAGAUUGUAUCUGUUAGAAACAUAACAGUGGACCACACCAGCAGCAAAAUGUUUACAGCAUCCCUGGG